ACUAGCCUACCUGGUUAAAUAAAGGUGUUCUCAACUAGCCUACCUGGUUAAAUAAAGGUGUUCUCAACUAGCCUACCUGGUUAAAUAAAGGUGUUCUCAACUGGCCUACCUGGUUAUAUAAAGGUGCUCUCAACUGGCCUACCUGGUUAAAUAAAGGUGUUCUCAACUAGCCUACCUGGUUAAAUAAAGGUGUUCUCAACUGGCCUACCUGGUUAAAUAAAGGUGUUCUCAACUAGCCUACCUGGUGAAAUAAAGGUGUUCUCAACUGGCCUACCUGGUUAAAUAAAGGUGUUCUCAACUAGCCUACCUGGUUAAAUAAAGGUGUUCUCAACUAGCCUACCUGGUUAAAUAAAGGUGUUCUCAACUGGCCUACCUGGUUAAAUACAGGUGCUCUCAACUGGCCUACCUGGUUAAAUAAAGGUGUUCUCAACUAGCCUACCUGGUUAAAUAAAGGUGUUCUCAACUGGCCUACCUGGUUAAAUACAGGUGUUCUCAACUAGCCUACCUGGUUAAAUAAAGGUGUUCUCAACUAGCCUACCUGGUUAAAUAAAGGUGUUCUCAACUAGCCUACCUGGUUAAAUAAAGGUGUUCUCAA
Oncorhynchus keta (chum salmon) is the source of this 595-nucleotide long non-coding RNA. RefSeq lists it as uncharacterized. The record is from RefSeq and is a predicted model, not a curated record. NCBI's taxonomy places the organism in Eukaryota, Metazoa, Chordata, Actinopteri, Salmoniformes, Salmonidae. The transcript is spliced from 3 exons.